Long non-coding RNA from Humulus lupulus (European hop), 1004 nucleotides. RefSeq lists it as uncharacterized. Lineage: Eukaryota; Viridiplantae; Streptophyta; Magnoliopsida; Rosales; Cannabaceae. The transcript has 4 exons. The record is from RefSeq and is a predicted model, not a curated record.
CGAACUGCCAACCCAAGGGAUCUAGCUAUGGGUUACCUAAGGACAAAUUUAUAUUUGCUUGUUUUAACCAGCUAUACAAGAUGGAUCCUGAUAUUUUCAAUACAUGGUGCAACAUCCUUAAGCGAGUACCAAAUAGUGCACUUUGGCUUCUCAGUUUUCCUGCUGCUGGCGAGUCAAGACUCUGCAAUUGUACUGCAAUUUUACCAUUUCUCAAGAUAAAUCAUUUACAUGCAUAAUAUUUGAAUUCUUCUUUGUUAUUUAUAUUUCAUAAUGUAGUAAUGGGUAUUUAUCUUACAAAGGAAAGAUAAAUUAGUAGCUGAUAAGCUAUUGGUGUUCCAGAUGCUGUUCAAAGAAGUGUACAACCAGAUGAGAUUAUUUUCACAGAUGUUGCCAUGAAGGGUGAACAUAUCAAGCGCAGUGCUUUAGCAGAUUUAUUCUUGGACACGCCAUUAUGCAAUGCGCACGCCACAGGCACUGAUGUUCUAUGGGCUGGUCUUCCAAUGGUGACCCUUCCACUUGAGAAAAUGGCUACGCGAGUAGCUGGUUCACUGUGUCUAGCCACUGGUGCAGGAGAGGAAAUGAUAGUUAACAUGUAAUGACUUAAAACAAACUUACAAUUUGGUUAAAAUAAGCUCACUCAAUUUGGUGAAAAAUGAUUGUGGUAACUCACUCAAUUUGAAUACCAAUAUGCCCCAAAUGAACUAGAUUAUCACUUGAAAGGUCUCUUUGGUUGUGCGACUGGGUUAAUCUCCGUCAAAUUUUAAUUGAUAUAAUUAGCAUAUACUCUUGGCUUUCUACUUUCUCUCUUCUGACUUAUCCUUUUCCCAAACAUCGAAAAGUUUGAAAGAGUACGAAGAAAGAGCAGUAUCGUUGGCUCUAAAUUGUCCAAAACUCCAAGACCUUACCAAUACACUCAAAGCGGCUCGCAUGACUUGUCCUCUAUUUGACACGACACGCUGGGUGAGAAAUUUUGAAAGAGCGUAUUUCAAGAUGUGGAAUCUGUA